UUUCUCUCAGUCCUGAGAAAGAGGGAGUCCCUGAAGAAGUCCUUCAACAAACUCAGACUCAUCAGCUUUUAUUAGGAGAUCAUAUUCAGAGUGCAGAACUUCCCCAGAGUCUAACUGGACCUGAUGGACACAGUGGUCAGCAGCAGCUGGUGUGCUGUUGAAGUGAUCCACUAUGGAGUCUGACUCCGAGGUCAAAGAUGUUCCCAAUCUAAAAACAGCAUAAAUGUUGUGACUGGCAGCGCUGUUACUGACCAGCCUGACCACCCAGCCCUCUACACACUGAGCUCCACCAGCUCAGAGGACUGUAUGCUGUGCACUUCAUCUCUGGCUAAGCCUUAUUUCUAGUAUAUGUAAAUAUUUAUACUGUAACUGUUUAUUUAAGAUGUUACCUGAACGUUAUGCUGCUCCUCUGUACCUGCACUGUGGACUUUAUAUACUGACCACUGUUUACACCACUAGCACUUCUGCAUUUACUGGACUGCAGUUCACCAGCACAUUUCUGUCUCUAUACCUGAUACACUUGAAUAUCUGACUAUGCACUAACUGUCUAUACGUCCAGGACACCUAUAACACUCGCCUACGCACAUCUUGUCUACGUUCAACACCUGAACCUACUGACCGCACAUUCUGUCUGUCUUUUACUGUCUUUAGUCUCUGCCCUGUUUACUAUGCAUCUCUUAUUACUGUACUGGAAAAGUCGCCCCAUAGUGUUUCAUUAUACUGUACUACCCUGUAUUGUACAAUGACAAUAAAGUUGAACUGAAUUGAA
Molecule: long non-coding RNA, 769 nt
Organism: Pygocentrus nattereri (red-bellied piranha)
Lineage: Eukaryota; Metazoa; Chordata; Actinopteri; Characiformes; Serrasalmidae
Exons: 2
Source: RefSeq, a predicted model, not a curated record